UGGGGAAUAUUGGUCAAUGGGGGAAACCCUGAACCAGCGACGCCGCGUGAGGGAAGAAGGUCUUCGGAUUGUAAACCUUUGUCUUUGGUGACGAUAAUGACGGUAACCAAGGAGGAAGCCACGGCUAACUACGUGCCAGCAGCCGCGGUAAUACGUAGGUGGCAAGCGUUGUCCGGAAUUACUGGGUGUAAAGGGAGCGUAGGCGGGUAUGCAAGUAAAAUGUGAAAUCUAUGGGCUCAACCCAUAGACUGCGUUUUAAACUGUGUAUCUUGAGUGAAGUAGAGGCAAGCGGAAUUCCUAGUGUAGCGGUGAAAUGCGUAGAUAUUAGGAGGAACACCAGUGGCGAAGGCGGCUUGCUGGGCUUUAACUGACGCUGAGGCUCGAAAGUGUGGGUAGCAAACA
The sequence is a ribosomal RNA, 402 nucleotides long. It matches the Rfam family "Bacterial small subunit ribosomal RNA", at positions 355 to 774 of the family's 1533-position model.